CAAACACAGCCACACCAGGAGAUAUAUGAGACAAUCCCAACAGACACAAAGACGUCAACAACAUCUCCACCUGUUCAUUCCUAUUGUUUUAUAAAAAUAGCUUAUGUGCUCAAUGUCAACAUGCCAACGCUAUUGUCUUCUUAUGAGAAAUACAUAUAUUCGUUUAAAACCCAUUAAGACCUAAAUACUAAUUGUCACUCAUUUUAUAGUUAUUUCUACAAGUCUUCAUAUAUUUGUUUUAAAGGUCCGGUAAAAACAACAAGUUUAAAAGUAAAAAAACAUAUAACCAACCUAAUAAGAAUAAAAAAUUAUUAUUUAAUACACACAACUUACACAACUAAACUGGAGAAAAAAUAUCCAGAAACAAAAAGUGCUCUCAACAACCUUAAUAUAAUUUAUGUAAUCUCAUUAGUACAAGUAACAAAUUAAAAAGACAAACAAACAAUAAGUCUCAGUGACACAACAAGCAACAACAAGCAACAACACGAACUAUAUCAAUCACAUUACUAACACAAUUUAGUCCUUCAUGAGUAAAGAACAGUGCAUACACAGUACAUCAUUACAACUCUAACUCUAUAACAAUAAAAAAC
Molecule: long non-coding RNA, 590 nt
Filed under: Brassica napus (rape)
Lineage: Eukaryota; Viridiplantae; Streptophyta; Magnoliopsida; Brassicales; Brassicaceae
Description: long non-coding RNA (BNAP_LNC016861)
Source: RNAcentral